This 192-nucleotide ribosomal RNA is filed under the name uncultured Vibrio sp. RNAcentral describes it as "partial 16S ribosomal RNA". It matches the Rfam family "Bacterial small subunit ribosomal RNA", at positions 340 to 524 of the family's 1533-position model. Lineage: Bacteria; Pseudomonadati; Pseudomonadota; Gammaproteobacteria; Vibrionales; Vibrionaceae. The record is from RNAcentral.
UACGGGAGGCAGCAGUGGGGAAUAUUGCACAAUGGGCGAAAGCCUGAUGCAGCCAUGCCGCGUGUAUGAAGAAGGCCUUCGGGUUGUAAAGUACUUUCAGUUGUGAGGAAGGGGGUAACGUUAAUAGCGUUAUCUCUUGACGUUAGCAACAGAAGAAGCACCGGCUAACUCCGUGCCAGCAGCCGCGGUAAU